RNAcentral lists this ribosomal RNA (479 nucleotides) under uncultured Lachnospiraceae bacterium. Its description in RNAcentral is "bacterial SSU rRNA". It matches the Rfam family "Bacterial small subunit ribosomal RNA", at positions 29 to 507 of the family's 1533-position model. Lineage: Bacteria; Bacillati; Bacillota; Clostridia; Lachnospirales; Lachnospiraceae. The record is from RNAcentral.
AUGAACGCUGGCGGCGUGCCUAACACAUGCAAGUCGAGCGGAGCAAUCUUGAUGAAGUUUUCGGAUGGAAUCAGGAUUGACUUAGCGGCGGACGGGUGAGUAACACGUGGAUAACCUGCCUUAUACUGGGGGAUAACAGCCAGAAAUGGCUGCUAAUACCGCAUAAGCGCACGGCGCCGCAUGGCGCAGUGUGAAAAACUCCGGUGGUAUAAGAUGGAUCCGCGCCUGAUUAGCUAGUUGGCGGGGCAGCGGCCCACCAAGGCGACGAUCAGUAGCCGGCCUGAGAGGGCGACCGGCCACAUUGGGACUGAGACACGGCCCAAACUCCUACGGGAGGCAGCAGUGGGGAAUAUUGCACAAUGGGGGGGAACCCUGAUGCAGCGACGCCGCGUGAGUGAAGAAGUAUUUCGGUAUGUAAAGCUCUAUCAGCAGGGAAGAAGAUGACGGUACCUGACUAAGAAGCCCCGGCUAACUACGUG